CCUUACCUUCGAAGUAGUUCCAGAGAUUAUCUAGUUGUAGAUCCGAACAGGCUUCUCAAAAUUGUGACGGUUCUGGUGGGCAGAAUAUGAUCGUUUUGGAGGACAGUCAGUGUGCUCUAAUCCAAGGUACUGCUCCCAAGCACCAUACACAUCUCUUUUCUGAAAACGGUUGAAAAUGAUAUCCGAUUCCUCCAGGUACUCGGGACGACCCAUGGACAAAAAUGCAAAUUUCCACUUCGAAAACUCUUCAUCUGGAACCUGCAAUUUUUUCUGAAUGCGAGCUUUAACCUCAGUCAAUGUCUCACCCUCAUGAAUAACUAGGAAAAAGGGCUCACCAAAGUUCAAAACUUGUGUUUGAUUUUGAGUCGCCUCCUUUAUAAAAUGAUAAACAUGAAUUAAGCGACUAUGAGCACCCAGGUUUUUCUCCUCUUCAGGAAUCUCCUCUGCACGUAGCGUCCAGUAUUGAUCAUUUAUGUUUUCAAUCCUUUCAUUAAGGGGGAAAAUCUUAUAUAUCUUGUGGUAAAAAACUUCAAGCAAUCUUAGUUCAGCAUCCGGCCGUGACAAUUCAACCUUCGUUUUCAGAUCAUUAAGAACAUCUGCUAUGGUACUUUGUUUUGGCAAUCUGAUAGUAUGGAUAGUCACUUCAUCCUUGGCAGAAUGAUGAAAAGUAACUUUGAGAGUUUUUAAGCCCUGAAGUUCUGGUAAAGGAAUAUCCAGGACUUCAUAAUACAAAACAUCUGAAGUCUGAUUAUAGUGACUAAGCAUUUCUGUGAGACGAUCAACUCCACGAUACCUUAUUGGCUGAGGUUUUGGCUGUUGUGAGUAGCAGUUAUGUGGUGUAAGCCUUACUCUUGAUGGAUCAUCCAAGCGAAGAUGGCGAGCUAAGCAUUCAACAACUUCAUCAUAGUUGUUUUGCUUUGACAACUCAAGACUGAACUCGUCCUCCUUGGGUUUCUCCAAUGAGCGAAAACGAACAAUCUGGCGAUUGUGCACGUACUCCAAAAAUGAAGGAACCUCUGGAAAGCGAUAUUGUUCAUUCCCUUGCUUCCGAAGGGAUUUCUGAAAACAAAUAAUGUCCCCAUCUUCUAGCUGACAGCCACGAAAACUCAGAUUCAUGUUAAUGUGUUCACACAUCACAUUUGGUUCAAAUUUUAUUUCCUCAAAAAGUUCAAUU
This 1174-nucleotide unclassified non-coding RNA is filed under the name Hevea brasiliensis (rubber tree). The record is from RNAcentral. Lineage: Eukaryota; Viridiplantae; Streptophyta; Magnoliopsida; Malpighiales; Euphorbiaceae.